Molecule: long non-coding RNA, 330 nt
Organism: Prosopis cineraria
Lineage: Eukaryota; Viridiplantae; Streptophyta; Magnoliopsida; Fabales; Fabaceae
Exons: 3
Source: RefSeq, a predicted model, not a curated record
UGCAAUUUAGAGGAAAUUGCAACUUUUGGCCCAAAGGUUUGAAUAAUUAAAUUCGAACCUAUAGUUUUUUUUAAUAUAAUUUUGGGACCACAAUCCCAUUUUUAUAUUAUUUUUCUCUCUUCCUCUCACGUUGCUCGGCGUUUUCUCGCAAGGGGGGAUUAUUUUCUUUUUCUUCAGAUUAUAUUGACAAAGAUAGUGGUGAAAAAGGAGUUGUGAAGGGGAACUUGUUAUUCAAGACACAAGGAGCGAGUCCGGCCGAGAAAGCACCAGAGGUGUAGCUAUGGUGUAUGAGACACCAUCUUUUACGUUGCCUCUUAUUUUAGAUUAUAC